UAGGGCUCAUUAGGUUAAUUGGGCUCGUUAGGCUCAUUAGCCUCAUUAGAAUGGUGGAGGAGCUGGGGGGGUCCCCAGGGUCAGCGGGGGGGGGGGACACCAAUGUUGGCCUUGUGUUGGGUGGUGGGGACUCGUUAAGGCUCAUUAGGGACCUGCAGAGGCUCAUUAAUUAUGGGCAGCUCUUUAGACGUUAGGGACCUGCAAAAGGCUCGUUAGGGAAUGGGGAGCUCGUUAAUGCUCAUUAAUUGGUGGGGGUUCAUUAAGGCUCGUUGGGUGCUGGAGGAUGUCGAGGUGGAGAUGAAUGAGGUCAGAGGUUAAUGAGGUUAUUGAGGUCAGCAGGGUUAGUGAGAUCAGAGGUUAAUGAGGUCAGUGGGGUUGAUGGAGUUCUGGGUUAACGAGGUCAGUGGAGUUAAUGAGAUCGGAGCUUAAUGAGGUCAGCAGGGUAAUGAGGUCAGAGGUUAAUGAGGUCAGAGGUUACUGAAGGAGCUCUGGGUUAAUGAGGUCAGCCGGGGUAAUGAGAUCGGGACGUCAAUGAAGUCAGAGGUUUACGAGGUCAGAGAUUAAUGAAAAUUAACGAGGGACUCAU
Long non-coding RNA from Melozone crissalis (California towhee), 586 nucleotides. RefSeq lists it as uncharacterized. NCBI's taxonomy places the organism in Eukaryota, Metazoa, Chordata, Aves, Passeriformes, Passerellidae. The transcript is spliced from 3 exons. The record is from RefSeq and is a predicted model, not a curated record.